RNAcentral lists this ribosomal RNA (331 nucleotides) under uncultured bacterium. Its description in RNAcentral is "bacterial SSU rRNA". It matches the Rfam family "Bacterial small subunit ribosomal RNA", at positions 568 to 898 of the family's 1533-position model. The record is from RNAcentral.
AGAGUAGGCGGGAAAAUAAGUUAGAAGUUUAAUAUAUAGGCUUAACCUAUAAGCUGCUUCUAAUACUGUUUUUCUUGAGUAUUGGAGAGGGAGAUGGAAUUCCAGGUGUAGCGGUGGAAUGCGUAGAUAUCUGGAAGAACACCAGUUGCGAAGGCGGUCUCCUGGCCAAAUACUGACGCUGAUGCUCGAAAGCUAGGGGAGCAAACAGGAUUAGAUACCCUGGUAGUCCUAGCCGUAAACGAUGGACACUAGAUGCUGGAGGAGUCAAUCCUUUCGGUGUCGUAGCUAACGUGUUAAGUGUCCGCCUGGGGAGUACGCUCGCAAGGGUGAA